AUUUUCAGCAAAAUCCGAGCUAUUCGGUGUUUGCGUACUUUUGGAGCUACAGUAACCCGG
Molecule: small RNA, 60 nt
Filed under: Caenorhabditis elegans
Lineage: Eukaryota; Metazoa; Nematoda; Chromadorea; Rhabditida; Rhabditidae
Description: Unclassified non-coding RNA Y22D7AL.18
Source: RNAcentral